GACGAACGCUGGCGGCGUGCUUAACACAUGCAAGUCGAACGGAAAGGCCCUGCUUUUGUGGGGUGCUCGAGUGGCGAACGGGUGAGUAACACGUGAGUAACCUGCCCUUGACUUUGGGAUAACUUCAGGAAACUGGGGCUAAUACCGGAUAGGAGCUCCUGCUGCAUGGUGGGGGUUGGAAAGUUUCGGCGGUUGGGGAUGGACUCGCGGCUUAUUAGCUUGUUGGUGGGGUAGUGGCUUACCAAGGCUUUGACGGGUAGCCGGCCUGAGAGGGUGACCGGCCACAUUGGGACUGAGAUACGGCCCAGACUCCUACGGGAGGCAGCAGUGGGGAAUAUUGCAAAAUGGGCGGAAGCCUGAUGCAGCAACGCAGCGUGCGGGAUGACGGCCUUCGGGUUGUAAACCGCUUUCGCCUGUGACGAAGCGUGAGUGACGGUAAUGGGUAAAGAAGCACCGGCUAACUACGUG
RNAcentral lists this ribosomal RNA (468 nucleotides) under uncultured bacterium. Its description in RNAcentral is "partial 16S ribosomal RNA". It matches the Rfam family "Bacterial small subunit ribosomal RNA", at positions 28 to 507 of the family's 1533-position model. The record is from RNAcentral.